This 460-nucleotide ribosomal RNA is filed under the name uncultured bacterium. RNAcentral's name for it is "partial 16S ribosomal RNA". It matches the Rfam family "Bacterial small subunit ribosomal RNA", at positions 338 to 795 of the family's 1533-position model. The record is from RNAcentral.
CCUACGGGGGGCAGCAGUGGGGAAUAUUGGGCAAUGGGCGCGAGCCUGAACCAGCCAAGUCGCGUGAGGGAUGACUGCCCUACGGGUUGUAAACUUCUUUUAUGAAGGAAUAAAGUGAGGCACGUGUGCCUUAUUGUAUGUACUUUAUGAAUAAGGAUCGGCUAACUCCGUGCCAGCAGCCGCGGUAAUACGGAGGAUCCGAGCGUUAUCCGGAUUUAUUGGGUUUAAAGGGAGCGUAGAUGGGUUGGUAAGUCAGUUGUGAAAGUUUGGGGCUCAACCGUAAAAUUGCAAUUGAUACUGGCAGCCUUGAGUACAGGUGAGGUAGGCGGAAUUCGUGGUGUAGCGGUGAAAUGCGUAGAUAUCACGAAGAACUCCGAUUGCGAAGGCAGCUUACUAAACUGCCACUGACACUGAUGCACGAAAGUGUGGGUAUCGAACAGGAUUAGAUACCCCAGUAGUC